RNAcentral lists this ribosomal RNA (1744 nucleotides) under Lobosphaera incisa. RNAcentral describes it as "16S ribosomal RNA". It matches the Rfam family "Bacterial small subunit ribosomal RNA". Lineage: Eukaryota; Viridiplantae; Chlorophyta; Trebouxiophyceae; Trebouxiales; Trebouxiaceae. The record is from RNAcentral.
UGAGUUUGAUCCUGGCUCAGAAUGAACGCUAGCGAUAGGUCUAACACAUGCAAGUUUAACGCAUACUGUAAAGUAUGAGUAGCGAACGGGUGAGUAACGCGUGAGAAUCUACCUCUUCCCCCCAACCAUGGAGAAAAAAAUCAAAGUGGUUAGGAGGGUUUUCCAAUACUCUGCAACCAGUUUUUCUGGUUGAUAGGUAUUGGAGAAAAAUAGCUCGGACUAAAAAAACUUGAUUUUUGAAUACCGAAUAAAAUAAAGGUCUUAUAAUUUGACCGCUGAGAGAUGAGCUUGCGUAGGAUUAGGUAGUUGGUGAGGUAAGAGCUACACCAAGCCAAAGAUCCUUAGCUGAUCUGAGAGGAUGAUCAGUCACACUGGGACUGAGACACGGCCCAGACGCUUUCGAGCGGCAGCAGUGAAGAAUCUUGGACAAUGGGCGAAAGCCUGAUCCAGCCAUAUCGCGUGAGUGAAGAAGGCCCAAUUGGUUGUAAAACUCUAAUUUCAAUUUAAGAUUAUGACCUCGAUUGAAAAAAAGUCCCGGCUAACUUCGUGCCAGCAGCCGCGGUAAUACGGGGGGGGCAAGCGUUAUUCAAAAUUACUGGGCGUAAAGAGCACGUAGGCGGUUUUUUUAGUGUAUUUUUGCGAAUCCCUACUUUUUACAGGUAUUCUUUUAUACCUAUCAAGAAUGGGAUUACAAAGAAGGCAUAUUAUAUAAAAAUAUGCGCGAUAAAUUCCUAAGCUCAACUUAGGUAAAUUGCUACUAACUGUUAAACUAGAGUAAGUGAGAGGAAAAUGGAAUUCCUGGAGGAGAGGUAAAAUUUGUAGAUUUCAGGAGGAACGCCAAAAGCGAAGGCAAUUUUCUGGCACUUAACUGACGCUGAGGUGCGAAAGCGUGGGGAGCGAGAGGGAUUAGAUACCCCUUUAGUCCACGCCGUCAACGAUGAAAAUUCACUAUCAGACAAUCUUCUCCUCUUUAAAAUGAAUGAGGUUUUUUGGUGGUUAUAGCUAACGCGUUAAAUUUUCCGCCUGAGGAGUACGGCCGCAAGGCUAAAACUCAAAGGAAUAGACGGGGGCUCACACAAGUGGUGGAACAUGUGGUUUAAUUCGAAACAACGCGCAAAACCUUACCAGUCCUUGACAUAAAUUAGAUUUUUUCUUUUAUCGGAAAAAAAUUCAAUUUACAGGGGUUGCAUGGCUGUCGUCAGCUCGUGUCGUGAGAUGUUUGGUUAAGUCCUUUCAACGAGCGCAACCCUCAUGAGAUGUUGGUCUAUAAAAUAGAAUUCCAAAUAAUAUUUUAUACCACUCUUCUCAAACUGCCAGUGAUAUACUGGAGGAAGGUGAGGAUAACGUCAAGUCCUCAUGACCCUUAUGGGCUGGGCUACACACGUGUUACAAUGGCAAUUACAAAAGUCAGCAAUGAUGCAAGUCGGAGCAAAUACAAAAAAAUUGUCUUAGUUCGGAUUGUUCUCUGCAACUCGAGAACAUGAAGUUGGAAUCACUAGUAAUCGUGGAUCAGCACGCCACGGUGAAUUCGUACCUGAGCCUUGUACUCACCGCCCGUCACGCUCCGGAAAUCGAGUGAAUCGGAAGUCUCACUUUUAUAAAAAAACAACCUGCCAACCAUUUUUUUUAUAAAAUUACCAUUGUUAUAACAGGUAGCUUUUUUAAAGGGUUUCGAUGAUUUGUUUGGUAACUGGAGCGAAGUCGUAACAAGGUAACCGUAGGGGAACCUGCGGUUGGAUAGACU